UUCUGUGGGGGCGGAGCGGCCGGCCGCAACUCGCGGUUCGAGCUAGCGCUUCCCCUACAUCCUGCCGCGAACCGUGCUACCAUUAGUUUGGUGGCGCCGGGGAUCGGCUCGUUUACUUUGAGAAAAAUAGAGUGUUCAAAGCAGGCCACACGCCUUGAAUAAGUUAGCAUGGAAUAAUAAUAAAGGACUUCGGUUCUAUUUUGUUGGUGUUCGGGACUGAAGUAAUGAUUGAUAGGGACAGUUGGGGCGGUCAGUAUUCCAAAGCGAGAGGUGAAAUUCUUAGACCUUCGGAAGACUAACAGCUGCGAAAGCGGUCCGCAAGGAUGUUCCCUUUGAUCAAGAACGAAAGUUGGGGGAUCGAAGACGAUCAGAUACCGUCGUAGUCUCAACUAUAAACUAUACCAGCUAGGGAUCGGCCAACGUUAAAUUAUCCGACUUGGUCGGCACCUUAUGAGAAAUCAAAGCAUCUGGGUUCCGGGGGGAGUAUGGUCGCAAGGCUGAAACUUAAAGGAAUUGACGGAAGGGCACCACCAGCCGUGGAGCCUGUGGCUUAAUUUGACUCAACACGGGAAAACUUACCAGGUCCAGACAUAGUAAGGAUUGACAGAUUGAUAGCUCUUUCUUGAUUCUGUGGGUGGUGGUGCAUGGCCGUUCUUAGUUGGUGGAGUGAUUUGUCUGGUUAAUUCCGUUAACGAACGAGACCCCAGCCUGCUAAAUAGCGCGGUUGAGCUUUGCUCGGCGCGAGCUUCUUAGAGGGACUAUGAUGCGCGAUAGCACAUGGAAGUUUGGGGCAAUAACAGGUCUGUGAUGCCCUUAGAUGUUCUGGGCCGCACACGGGCUACACUGGCGCCUGCAACGAGCAUAUCAGCUGGCCCGAGAGGGUCUUGGCUAAUCUUUUGAACCGGCGCCGUGCUUGGGAUUGACCAUUGCAAUUGUUGGUCAUGCAACGAGGAAUGCCUUGUAAACGCGAGUCAUCACUCGCAUUGAAUACGUCCCUGCCCUUUGUA
This 1007-nucleotide ribosomal RNA is filed under the name uncultured eukaryote. RNAcentral describes it as "SSU rRNA". It matches the Rfam family "Eukaryotic small subunit ribosomal RNA", at positions 640 to 1664 of the family's 1831-position model. The record is from RNAcentral.